This 433-nucleotide long non-coding RNA is filed under the name Mus pahari (shrew mouse). RNAcentral describes it as "lncRNA (MGP_PahariEiJ_G0003701.1)". Lineage: Eukaryota; Metazoa; Chordata; Mammalia; Rodentia; Muridae. The record is from RNAcentral.
CAGGAAAACACUGGGUGCAGAAGGUUCAGGCCUUCGCUGCGUCUUGCCCUGGAGACCGCAACAUCAUAUUGACAUUGAAAUCUGAAGUUGGGUAGUGCCUUUUCUUAGGGGCCUGGCAGCGCCACGGGGACAAGGGUUCCUUACCCUUUCUGGACCUCGGUUUCCUCAUCUGUGAAAGGAAUAGUGUGAGCGCCUUCAGCAAAUUACAGAGAAGUGAGGGGGCAGGGGGCAGCGCGGACCCUGCACAGACGGAGCCUGGGCCAAGCCGAGGGAAGAUCGGAAAGAUCGGCUGAUGUGAGCCAGGCCUCCACACACAUCACUUCCAGGAGUGAGGCCAGGGUACAGCCAAGGUGAUGACGGAUGUGCCUCCUCCGUCCCUGGGUCAGCUUCAGGUGAAGUCACCCGUUCCCUCUGCACUCUGUCAGGACCUGUU